GCCCGCGUAGCCCAAUAGCAGAGGCAGCGAGCUCAAACCUCGCAAAGUGCGGGUGCGACUCCCGCCGCGGGCA
This 73-nucleotide transfer RNA is filed under the name Roseimicrobium gellanilyticum. Its description in RNAcentral is "tRNA-Leu". It matches the Rfam family "tRNA". From Rfam's summary of the family: Transfer RNA (tRNA) molecules are approximately 80 nucleotides in length. The record is from RNAcentral. Lineage: Bacteria; Pseudomonadati; Verrucomicrobiota; Verrucomicrobiia; Verrucomicrobiales; Verrucomicrobiaceae.